GCUUAACACAUGCAAGUCGAACGAUGAAGCCCAGCUUGCUGGGUGGAUUAGUGGCGAACGGGUGAGUAACACGUGAGUAACCUGCCCUUAACUCUGGGAUAAGCCUGGGAAACUGGGUCUAAUACCGGAUAGGACGAUGGUUUGGAUGCCAUUGUGGAAAGUUUUUCGGUGUGGGAUGAGCUCGCGGCCUAUCAGCUUGUUGGUGAGGUAAUGGCUCACCAAGGCGACGACGGGUAGCCGGCCUGAGAGG
This 250-nucleotide ribosomal RNA is filed under the name Ditylum brightwellii. Its description in RNAcentral is "partial Bacterial small subunit ribosomal RNA". It matches the Rfam family "Bacterial small subunit ribosomal RNA", at positions 46 to 299 of the family's 1533-position model. Lineage: Eukaryota; Bacillariophyta; Thalassiosirophyceae; Lithodesmiales; Lithodesmiaceae. The record is from RNAcentral.